RNAcentral lists this ribosomal RNA (253 nucleotides) under uncultured bacterium. RNAcentral's name for it is "partial 16S ribosomal RNA". It matches the Rfam family "Bacterial small subunit ribosomal RNA", at positions 524 to 776 of the family's 1533-position model. The record is from RNAcentral.
UACGAAGGGGGCUAGCGUUGCUCGGAAUCACUGGGCGUAAAGGGCGCGUAGGCGGGCCUUUAAGUCCGGGGUGAAAUCCUGGAGCUCAACUCCAGAACUGCCUUUGAUACUGAAGAUCUUGAGUUCGGGAGAGGUGAGUGGAACUGCGAGUGUAGAGGUGAAAUUCGUAGAUAUUCGCAAGAACACCAGUGGCGAAGGCGGCUCACUGGCCCGGUACUGACGCUGAGGUGCGAAAGCGUGGGGAGCAAACAGG